GAUGAACGCUGGCGGCGUGCCUAAUACAUGCAAGUCGAGCGAACGGACGAGAAGCUUGCUUUUCUGAUGUUAGCGGCGGACGGGUGAGUAACACGUGGAUAACCUACCUAUAAGACUGGGAUAACUUCGGGAAACCGGAGCUAAUACCGGAUAAUAUUUUGAACCGCAUGGUUCAAAAGUGAAAGACGGUCUUGCUGUCACUUAUAGAUGGAUCCGCGCUGCAUUAGCUAGUUGGUAAGGUAACGGCUUACCAAGGCAACGAUGCAUAGCCGACCUGAGAGGGUGAUCGGCCACACUGGAACUGAGACACGGUCCAGACUCCUACGGGAGGCAGCAGUAGGGAAUCUUCCGCAAUGGGCGAAAGCCUGACGGAGCAACGCCGCGUGAGUGAUGAAGGUCUUCGGAUCGUAAAACUCUGUUAUUAGGGAAGAACAUAUGUGUAAGUAACUGGGCAAAUCUUGACGGUACCUAAUCAGAAAGCCACGGCUAACUACG
RNAcentral lists this ribosomal RNA (495 nucleotides) under uncultured bacterium. RNAcentral describes it as "partial 16S ribosomal RNA". It matches the Rfam family "Bacterial small subunit ribosomal RNA", at positions 28 to 505 of the family's 1533-position model. The record is from RNAcentral.